AACGCACGAGACCUGCGGACCUGCGGAGGGAUCAUUACAAAUCAGUAAAGUUGGGAAAGGGGAAGGGAGGGGUAGUGCUUAAUCGCAUUAUUCCCCCACCCUCAUUACCUAACAACUUUAACGCUUGUUGUGUUUGACAGAGUAAUUGUGACUUUUAAAAUGAGACAACUUUCAGCAAUGGAUCUCU
RNAcentral lists this unclassified non-coding RNA (187 nucleotides) under soil metagenome. Its description in RNAcentral is "partial contains 5.8S ribosomal RNA, internal transcribed spacer 2, and large subunit ribosomal RNA". The record is from RNAcentral.